GGAGAGGUGCUGGAGCUGGCCGAACAGGCAUGACUGGAAAUCAUGUGUAUCCUUCCCGGAUACCGUGGGUUCGAAUCCCACCCUCUCCGCCA
This 92-nucleotide transfer RNA is filed under the name bacterium. RNAcentral's name for it is "tRNA-Ser". It matches the Rfam family "tRNA". From Rfam's summary of the family: Transfer RNA (tRNA) molecules are approximately 80 nucleotides in length. Their secondary structure includes four short double-helical elements and three loops (D, anti-codon, and T loops). Further hydrogen bonds mediate the characteristic L-shaped molecular structure. tRNAs have two regions of fundamental functional importance: the anti-codon, which is responsible for specific mRNA codon recognition, and the 3' end, to which the tRNAs corresponding amino acid is attached (by aminoacyl-tRNA synthetases). tRNAs cope with the degeneracy of the genetic code in two manners: having more than one tRNA (with a specific anti-codon) for a particular amino acid; and 'wobble' base-pairing, i.e. permitting non-standard base-pairing at the 3rd anti-codon position. The record is from RNAcentral.